AUUGAACGCUGGCGGCAGGCCUAACACAUGCAAGUCGAGCGGAUGAAGGGAGCUUGCUCCUGGAUUCAGCGGCGGAAGGGUGAGUAAUGCCUAGGAAUCUGCCUGGUAGUGGGGGAUAACGUCCGGAAACGGGCGCUAAUACCGCCUACGUCCUGCGGGAGAAAGUGGGGGAUCUUCGGACAUCACGCUAUCAGAUGAGCGUAGGUCGGAUUAGCUAGUUGGUGGGGUAAAGGCCUACCAAGGCGACGAUCCGUAACUGGUCUGAGAGGAUGAUCAGUCACACUGGAACUGAGACACGGUCCAUACUCCUACGGGACGCAGCAGUGGGGAAUAUUGGACAAUGGUCGAAAGCCUGAUCCAGCCAUGCCGCGUGUGUGAAGAAGGUCUUCGGAUUGUAAAGCACUUUAAGUUGUGAUGAAGGGCAGUAAGUUAAUACCUUGCUGUUUUGACGUUACCAACAGAAUAAGCACCGGCUAACUUCGUG
This 484-nucleotide ribosomal RNA is filed under the name uncultured bacterium. Its description in RNAcentral is "partial 16S ribosomal RNA". It matches the Rfam family "Bacterial small subunit ribosomal RNA", at positions 30 to 507 of the family's 1533-position model. The record is from RNAcentral.